RNAcentral lists this ribosomal RNA (78 nucleotides) under Candidatus Phytoplasma trifolii. RNAcentral's name for it is "partial 23S ribosomal RNA". The record is from RNAcentral. Lineage: Bacteria; Bacillati; Mycoplasmatota; Mollicutes; Acholeplasmatales; Acholeplasmataceae.
AAAAAGGUCCUGCUUAAAAAGUUCUUUGAAAAGUAGAUAAACAUGCUUUAAAAUUUUCAUAAAGUGAAGGAUGGCAGC